AUUGAACGCUGGCGGCAUGAUUUACACAUGCAAGUCGAACGGUAACAGGCCGCAAGGUGCUGACGAGUGGCGAACGGGUGAGUAAUGCAUCGGAACGUGCCCAGUCGUGGGGGAUAACUACUCGAAAGAGUAGCUAAUACCGCAUACGAUCUAUGGAUGAACGCGGGGGACCGUAAGGCCUCGCGCGAUUGGAGCGGCCGAUGUCAGAUUAGGUAGUUGGUGGGGUAAAGGCUCACCAAGCCAACGAUCUGUAGCUGGUCUGAGAGGACGACCAGCCACACUGGGACUGAGACACGGCCCAGACUCCUACGGGAGGCAGCAGUGGGGAAUUUUGGACAAUGGGCGCAAGCCUGAUCCAGCAAUGCCGCGUGCAGGAAGAAGGCCUUCGGGUUGUAAACUGCUUUUGUACGGAACGAAACGGCUCUGGUUAAUACCCGGGGCUAAUGACGGUACCGGAAGAAUAAGCACCGGCUAACUACGUG
RNAcentral lists this ribosomal RNA (482 nucleotides) under uncultured bacterium. RNAcentral describes it as "partial 16S ribosomal RNA". It matches the Rfam family "Bacterial small subunit ribosomal RNA", at positions 30 to 507 of the family's 1533-position model. The record is from RNAcentral.